Ictalurus punctatus (channel catfish) is the source of this 637-nucleotide long non-coding RNA. Lineage: Eukaryota; Metazoa; Chordata; Actinopteri; Siluriformes; Ictaluridae. The record is from Ensembl.
CUUCCUGAGAAGUGUAGAUCGUCUUGUAGCAUGUGUGUAGUAAUGUGUGCUUUUUGUGUAGGGUGGGAACAUAAUGUGUAGCAGUGUACCCUGCCCUACACCUGACUGCAGUUUGGUGGAAACUGUCAGUGGAGAGUGUUGUCCCAGGUGUCGAAGUAAGUGUGUGUGUGUGUGUGAGAGUGUGAGAGUGUGUGAGAGUGUGUGUGAGUGUGUGUGAGAGUGUGUGUGUGUGUGAGAGUGUGAGAGUGUGUGUGAGUGUGUGUGAGUGUGUGUGAGUGUGUGUGAGAGUGUGUGUGUGUGAGAGUGUGUGUGAGAGUGUGUGAGAGUGUGUGAGUGUGUGAGAGUGUGUGAGAGUGUGUGAGAGUGUGUGUGAGAGAGUGUGAGAGAGUGUGUGAGAGAGUGUGUGUGUGAGUGUGUGUGAGAGUGUGUGUGAGAGUGUGUGUGAGAGUGUGUGUGAGAGUGUGUGAGAGUGUGUGAGUGUGUGAGAGUGUGUGAGAGUGUGUGUGUGAGAGUGUGUGUGUGAGAGUGUGUGUGAGAGUGUGUGAGAGUGUGUGAGUGUGUGAGAGUGUGUGAGAGUGUGUGAGAGUGUGUGAGAGUGUGUGUAAGAGAGUGUGAGAGAGUGUGUGAGAGAGUGUGU